RNAcentral lists this ribosomal RNA (1102 nucleotides) under uncultured Cladosporium. RNAcentral describes it as "eukaryotic LSU rRNA". The stretch from base 476 to 1102 matches the Rfam family "Eukaryotic large subunit ribosomal RNA", at positions 1 to 649 of the family's 3401-position model. The record is from RNAcentral. Lineage: Eukaryota; Fungi; Ascomycota; Dothideomycetes; Cladosporiales; Cladosporiaceae.
AGGGAUCAUUACAAGUGACCCCGGUCCAACCACCGGGAUGUUCAUAACCCUUUGUUGUCCGACUCUGUUGCCUCCGGGGCGACCCUGCCUUCGGGCGGGGGCUCCGGGUGGACACUUCAAACUCUUGCGUAACUUUGCAGUCUGAGUAAACUUAAUUAAUAAAUUAAAACUUUUAACAACGGAUCUCUUGGUUCUGGCAUCGAUGAAGAACGCAGCGAAAUGCGAUAAGUAAUGUGAAUUGCAGAAUUCAGUGAAUCAUCGAAUCUUUGAACGCACAUUGCGCCCCCUGGUAUUCCGGGGGGCAUGCCUGUUCGAGCGUCAUUUCACCACUCAAGCCUCGCUUGGUAUUGGGCAACGCGGUCCGCCGCGUGCCUCAAAUCGACCGGCUGGGUCUUCUGUCCCCUAAGCGUUGUGGAAACUAUUCGCUAAAGGGUGUUCGGGAGGCUACGCCGUAAAACAACCCCAUUUCUAAGGUUGACCUCGGAUCAGGUAGGGAUACCCGCUGAACUUAAGCAUAUCAAUAAGCGGAGGAAAAGAAACCAACAGGGAUUGCUCUAGUAACGGCGAGUGAAGCAGCAAUAGCUCAAAUUUGAAAUCUGGCGUCUUCGGCGUCCGAGUUGUAAUUUGUAGAGGAUGCUUCUGAGUAACCACCGACCUAAGUUCCUUGGAACAGGACGUCAUAGAGGGUGAGAAUCCCGUAUGCGGUCGGAAAGGUGCUCUACACGUAGCUCCUUCGACGAGUCGAGUUGUUUGGGAAUGCAGCUCUAAAUGGGAGGUAAAUUUCUUCUAAAGCUAAAUAUUGGCCAGAGACCGAUAGCGCACAAGUAGAGUGAUCGAAAGAUGAAAAGCACUUUGGAAAGAGAGUUAAAAAGCACGUGAAAUUGUUAAAAGGGAAGGGAUUGCAACCAGACUUGCUCGCGGUGUUCCGCCGGUCUUCUGACCGGUCUACUCGCCGCGUUGCAGGCCAGCAUCGUCUGGUGCCGCUGGAUAAGACUUGAGGAAUGUAGCUCCCUCGGGAGUGUUAUAGCCUCUUGUGAUGCAGCGAGCGCCGGGCGAGGUCCGCGCUUCGGCUAGGAUGCUGGCGUAAUGGUCGUAAUCCGCC